GGGGGCGUGGUGCAGCGGCCAAGCAUACCUCCCUGUCAAGGAGGAGACCGCGGGUUCGAAUCCCGUCGCUCCCG
Molecule: transfer RNA, 74 nt
Filed under: Chloroflexota bacterium
Lineage: Bacteria; Bacillati; Chloroflexota
Description: Chloroflexi bacterium (oil production facility metagenome) tRNA-Asp
Rfam family: tRNA
About the family: Transfer RNA (tRNA) molecules are approximately 80 nucleotides in length. Their secondary structure includes four short double-helical elements and three loops (D, anti-codon, and T loops).
Source: RNAcentral